UAGGGAAUCUUCCACAAUGGGCGCAAGCCUGAUGGAGCAACACCGCGUGAGUGAAGAAGGUUUUCGGAUCGUAAAACUCUGUUGGUAGAGAAGAACGUUGGUGAGAGUGGAAAGCUCAUCAAGUGACGGUAACUACCCAGAAAGGGACGGCUAACUACGUGCUAG
RNAcentral lists this ribosomal RNA (165 nucleotides) under uncultured bacterium. RNAcentral describes it as "partial 16S ribosomal RNA". It matches the Rfam family "Bacterial small subunit ribosomal RNA", at positions 355 to 511 of the family's 1533-position model. The record is from RNAcentral.